RNAcentral lists this transfer RNA (71 nucleotides) under Serendipita vermifera MAFF 305830. It matches the Rfam family "tRNA". Rfam says of the family: Transfer RNA (tRNA) molecules are approximately 80 nucleotides in length. Their secondary structure includes four short double-helical elements and three loops (D, anti-codon, and T loops). The record is from Rfam by way of RNAcentral. Lineage: Eukaryota; Fungi; Basidiomycota; Agaricomycetes; Sebacinales; Serendipitaceae.
GCACUUUUAGCUUAAUGGUAAAGUAAUUAGUUUCGGCCUAAUUGAUAUUGGUUCGAUUCCGAUAAGGUGUU